RNAcentral lists this unclassified non-coding RNA (2628 nucleotides) under Hevea brasiliensis (rubber tree). The record is from RNAcentral. Lineage: Eukaryota; Viridiplantae; Streptophyta; Magnoliopsida; Malpighiales; Euphorbiaceae.
GCAAGAGCACACAACUAUGUCUCUACCAUUUUAUUUAGAUUUCGCAAUGUACUAUUUUGUACUUUCCAAUUCCACCAUCUCCCCUACAUCUGCAAUUUAGGGUUUUCACAAAUUGAAAUGUGCAGGCCUAAUGGAAAACUCUGAAGCCUCCAAUUUCCUCACAAAUGCUGCCGAUACAAACCCUAAAUUAGGGUUUCAAUCCUCUUUCAAUGCUGAUUCAGAUUCUGAUCAGACUUUGGAACUAGGCAAAAAGCUAGAGCGGAAGCCUCUUUAUUUGACAGAGGCCGGGGUAGUGUUUGAGGAGGCUGCACCUGAUAUAGCAGUGGUGGAGAAAGUAUAUGAAAAACUGGAGAAGCAGCUUCAUUUGAAAGAGGAUGAGGAGGACAAACAUUCGAUUGAAUGGAACCAAGAUGACUACUUUAACAGUGUAGAGAGCAUUGAUGGAGAAGAACACAACAGGUAUGAUAAAGAGGAUAAUGAUAAUAAUGAUGAGAAGUUAGAUGAUGAAGCUGAGGAGAAGAAUGAGAGUAUUAAUGGUAACAGAAGGCAUCAGUAUCCAGUAAGACCUGAAGCUGAAGAUUGUGCCUUCUAUAUGAAAACUGGUACUUGUAAAUUUGGAUCCAAUUGCAAGUUCAAUCACCCUGUAAGAAGGAAAAGCCAGGCUACCAAGGAGAAGGUGAAGGAAAGGGAGGAAGCAGCAGAGAGAUCUGACCAGACAGAAUGCAAGGUUCUCUAAUAUAUUUGUGUCCUUUUACUCUGCAUUAAGAAAAAUUGUUGUUUAAAAGUUCAUUUUAUUUUUACUCCCAUUUUAGCGUUCUUUUUUGUUGUGAGAGUUUGAUCUCUUUUGCUUUCUGUUUCUACUUUGAUUGAUUGUUGUGAGCUGGAUCAUUAAUGGUUGUUUUCCGAUAGGAUUUAUUUGUUUAUUAAAUUGUGACUUUGAGAUACUGUUAAAAGCAUGUUACACAGCAUUAGUUUUGAAGGAAAAGAUUUCCAUUUAUUAGCAUGUUGAGUGUUCUCGACUGGUGUUCUUGUUCAGUUUCGCUUUGCACAAGCAUAGUUUUAACUCUCAAACCUACAAUUGCUUUUGGUUUAUAGCCUUUCUUUAAGGCAUUAUGGCCUAGUGCAAGUUGUGGUUUGGACAGGAUUUCUUUGAACUUAAUUUGCCUCAUAGGAAUUAAGAUUUGUUAAAAUGAUAAAUUUUGUGCAACUCAUUUAUUAGUUUAUUAAUCAAGUUGUUUUCAGUUCUUUAUCUUUUUUGUUCAUUGAAACUUAAAUAUCUAGUAAGCUGGUUUUAGAAGAUGUUCAUGUUCAUAGCUUUAUGCAAUAUGCAUGGCUAGUGAAUAACAGUUUCUGCUCUUCUAUAAUUUUUCUCGAGUUUGUUGCAGUAUUACUUGAGGACAGGGGGUUGUAAGUAUGGAAAAGCUUGUAGAUAUAAUCACUCAAGAGCAAAAACUCCAGUGCUCCCUGCAAAAACAACAGUAUUCCCUGUUUUAGAACUUAACUUUCUGGGUCUGCCAAUCCGACUGGUAUCUCUUUUAUUUAUAUAGAAAAACAUUUUGCAUGUCUUUGCAAAUUCUUUCAAGAACUUAUCUUUGUUUUAACAAUGCAUACUGGAAAUGUUAACAUAUUUCACUAAUCAUAGGGAGAGAGAGAGUGCCCGUAUUAUAUGCGUAAUGGUUCCUGCAAGUAUGGAGUGAACUGCCGGUUUAAUCAUCCAGAUCCUACAGCUGCUGGAGGAAGUGACCCUCCUUCAGCAUUCAGUAAUGGUGGGGCUGCUGCUUUACAGAGUUCCUCACAAUCAAGUGUAGCAUCUUGGUCUUUACCAAGAGGACUAAAUGAGGCUGCCCCCUUUCCAAUUAUGUUUUCACCAACUCAAGGGGUUCCUUCACAAAAUCCUGAAUGGAAUGGAUAUCAGGCUCCUGCAUUUCCACCAGAGAGGAGGAGUAUACACCCAGGUUCAGCGUAUGUCAUAAGCAAUCCAGCUACAGAUACCAACGUCUAUGCGCAUCAGCAGCAGAUGACAUUCGAUGAAUAUCCAGAACGACCUGGACAACCAGAGUGCAGUUAUUAUUUGAAAACUGGAGGCUGUAAAUUCAAGUCUAAUUGCAAAUAUCAUCAUCCAAAGAAUCAGAUCCCAAAGUCAUCUCCAUGUGCUCUUAGUGACAAGGGCCUGCCGUUGAGACCUGGUCAGCAUGUAUGUUCAUACUAUAGCCGGUAUGGUAUUUGCAAGUUUGGACCUGCUUGUAAGUUUGACCAUCCAACACAACCAGCUUUAAUGACAGGGUAUGCUGAAGAUCAGACUAGAACGUCUGAAACUGGAAAUGAAAGUGAUACUGCAAUUUAGCAGAAUUGUAAAAUAAUUUUUCGUCAAUCAAACUAGCCUUUUAGGGUCCAUGAUACAGGGGAUUUUAAAUUUUCUCCAUGAUAGUGGAUCUUUUAUUUUACCUUCUCUCUGGUUCAUCUGCCGCAAGAUUUUGAAACUGUGGCGUUUUUCAUUUAUCAUGUGUUGUGUUGCUACAACCCAAAUGAAAUCGGGAUAUGUAAAUUCUCCAUUUAAUGUUCUUUACUGGCUUUGUUUAUUUAUUUAAUAAUUUAACUUUGCAUUUGCCAAAUAAUACACAUGCGGCU